UACGUAGGGGGCAAGCGUUGUCCGGAAUCAUUGGGCGUAAAGAGCGCGUAGGCGGUCCGGUAAGUCCGCUGUGAAAGUCAGGGGCUCAACCCUUGAAUGCCGGUGGAUACUGUCGGGCUAGAGUCCGGAAGAGGCGAGUGGAAUUCCUGGUGUAGCGGUGAAAUGCGCAGAUAUCAGGAGGAACACCGAUGGCGAAGGCAGCUCGCUGGGACGGUACUGACGCUGAGACGCGAAAGCGUGGGGAGCGAACAGG
This 253-nucleotide ribosomal RNA is filed under the name uncultured bacterium. RNAcentral describes it as "partial 16S ribosomal RNA". It matches the Rfam family "Bacterial small subunit ribosomal RNA", at positions 524 to 776 of the family's 1533-position model. The record is from RNAcentral.